GCCACGGUGGUCUAGCGGUUAGAACGCUGGCCUGGUAAUCCUGGGGUCUCGGGUUCGAUUCCCGGCGGUGCCC
Molecule: non-coding RNA, 73 nt
Organism: Zootermopsis nevadensis
Lineage: Eukaryota; Metazoa; Arthropoda; Insecta; Blattodea; Termopsidae
Source: Rfam